AAUCUUCCGCAAUGGACGAAAGUCUGACGGAGCAACGCCGCGUGAAUGAUGAAGGUCUUCGGAUCGUAAAACUCUGUUGUUAGUGCAGAACAAGUAUCGUUCGAAUAGGGCGGUACCUUGACGGUACCUAACCAGAAAGCCACGGCUACCUACGUCCCAGCAGACGCGGUAAUACGUAGGUGGCAAGCGUUAUCCGGAAUUAUUGGGCGUAAAGCGCGCUGUGGCUGUUUCUUAAGUCUGAUCUGAAAGCCCACGGCUCAAGCGUGGAGGGUCAUUGUAAACUGGGAAGCUUGAGUGCAGAAGAGGAGAGUGGAAUUCCAUGUGUAGCGGUGAAAUGCGUAGAGAUAUGGAGGAACACCAGUGGCGAAGGCGACUCUCUGGUCUGCAACUGACGCUGAGGCGCGAAAGCGUGGGGAGCGAACA
Molecule: ribosomal RNA, 423 nt
Filed under: uncultured bacterium
Lineage: Bacteria
Description: partial 16S ribosomal RNA
Rfam family: Bacterial small subunit ribosomal RNA
Source: RNAcentral